GGCUCAGUGGUCCAAUGGUAAAACGCUCGUCGCUGAGCCAGAAACUCUUGGGUUCGAUCCCCAACGGGGUUA
This 72-nucleotide transfer RNA is filed under the name Schistosoma japonicum. RNAcentral's name for it is "tRNA-OTHER". Lineage: Eukaryota; Metazoa; Platyhelminthes; Trematoda; Strigeidida; Schistosomatidae. The record is from RNAcentral.